RNAcentral lists this long non-coding RNA (482 nucleotides) under Phoenix dactylifera (date palm). Its description in RNAcentral is "long non-coding RNA (PDAC_LNC001188)". The record is from RNAcentral. Lineage: Eukaryota; Viridiplantae; Streptophyta; Magnoliopsida; Arecales; Arecaceae.
AUUGCUUCAUAUCCUCAGAAUAUUGCUACCAAGCACUAAUUGACAUGCUCUGAUUGUUUUGCAUUCACCAAUAUAUCAUACGUAUAAACUUGAGUUAAGGUAUUAUCAACAGGAUGCAAAGCUAUUAACAUCAUCAGCCUUCCUACUGAAGAAUUUAUUAUAUUUCUCCAUCCGAAUGUAUAAUACACUAUAGACAAAAUACUUCUAAUCUGUUCUCUACUAGAUCCCAUCCCUCCCCUCCCCCCACUUCUAAUCUUUACUGAAGAAUCUACUUCUAAGCUGUUCUCUACUAGAUCACAUCCCUUCCCUCAAAACAAAACAAAAAAAAAGGGAAAAAAGUUUUCACACCCCACUUGUUUUCUAGUGAAAUUAAUUGUACAAGGACCUAGAGUUGCAGCUAGCACAGAUUCAAGCCAUUUCACAUUGAUUGGCACUUAAGAUACUCCUGUCUUGGUAGAAGGGCCCAUCAAACCCUAGCCAUU